AACGAACGCUAGCGGCGUGCCUAACACAUGCAAGUCGAGCGAGAAAAGACUUCGGUCUAAGUAAAGCGGCGCACGGGUGAGUAACACGUGGGUAACGUACCCUCGGGUGGGGAGUAACGGACCGAAAGGUUUGUCUAAUACCGCAUCAGACCACAGUCCUCGCGGGGACGAGGGGUCGAAAGGGGGCGUGUCGCAAGGCAGCUCUCGCCUGAGGAUCGGCCCGCGGACCAUUAGCUAGUUGGUAGGGUAACGGCCUACCAAGGCUACGAUGGUUAGCUGGUCUGAGAGGACGAUCAGCCACACUGGGACUGGAACACGGCCCAGACUCCUACGGGAGGCAGCAGUGGGGAAUAUUGCGCAAUGGGCGAAAGCCUGACGCAGCAACGCCGCGUGGGUGAAGAAGG
This 404-nucleotide ribosomal RNA is filed under the name uncultured bacterium. RNAcentral's name for it is "bacterial SSU rRNA". It matches the Rfam family "Bacterial small subunit ribosomal RNA", at positions 29 to 414 of the family's 1533-position model. The record is from RNAcentral.